CACCUAGUAGGGACGUGUCCCUGCGCCAAACGACUUUUGUCGGGAUCGUGGCAUGUCUGCGAUCCAGGGGGUGAUGUUGAGAGCUGGAAGGCAAGGGGGUGCAAACACUAGUCGGCCUUUGUCCCGAUUGCUGAGUGUUAUGUGCUAGACGUCCAAGGCUUGAUGCUGACCCUCCAAGUGGGGCUUGUCCCUGCACCAAUGGCUUUUGCCAGGAUCAUGGUGUUUGCUGUGAUCGAAAAAAUGAGGGGGUGAUGUUGAGAGCCGGAAGGCAAGGGGGUGCAAACACCAGUCGGCCUUUGUCCCGAUUGCUGAGUGUUAUGUGCUUGACGUCCAAGGCUUGAUGCUGACCCUCCAAGUGGGGCUUUUUUGUUCCUGCGGUAACGACUUUGUUGGGAUCAUUGUGAUCAAGUUUGGUUGGUUUCGUAUUGUGGUGGGUUUUUUCGAAGCUUCUGUCGUUCUUUUACGCAUCGUGCGGUGCAUCUUGGGGGCUGUUUUGGCUUUUGGUUGCUUGCUUGGGCUUUAUGCUAGGCGGGUGGCUAAU
This 541-nucleotide unclassified non-coding RNA is filed under the name Espeletia cardonae. RNAcentral's name for it is "Ruilopezia cardonae partial external transcribed spacer". Lineage: Eukaryota; Viridiplantae; Streptophyta; Magnoliopsida; Asterales; Asteraceae. The record is from RNAcentral.